CACACUGCCUUGUAUCGCCAGUACAGUGAGAGUCCUAGUGGGCCUCCGUAGUCUCCCGCCCCCUCUAAUGUAUCAAUUUUUCAUAUUCAUAUUUCGCUGUGCCCUUCACCUCUUCCCUGUCUCUGUCACUUUGGGGAAGAGGAGUUGGGGGAAGGAGAACCUACUGCCUGCUUCACUGUAUUGUCCCUAUUGUUUUGCAGGUGUGUCAUUGUUUUCUGUUUGUUUAUCACUUUGUCAUGGUGUUAUUUUGCUUGUAACCUUGUACAGUUAAUUAGCAUGCUAGCUCCCGCUAGCGUAGUUGCUAACUAAGUUAGCCAUACUAGCUAGCUACUUCCAUUAGGUCUCUAUCAGGAGCUAGGCUAGGUAGCAUAGUUUAAUGGUUAAAUCCUAGCGACUAGUUGUGUUAACCUUUUAAAUGUAAUGAUUGAUGUUACUUUUAUUUUAUAUCUUGUAUUUUGUAUUUAGUAUGUUUUGUGUGGGUUACCUGUGCUUUUUGGCCCUGUCUCUGUCACUUUGGGGAAGAGGAGUUGGGGGAAGGAGAACCUACUGCCUGCUUCACUGUAUUGUCCCUAUUGUUUUGCAGAGAGAAUAAAAGCCCGCGAAUACAUCGUCA
Molecule: long non-coding RNA, 613 nt
Organism: Alosa sapidissima (American shad)
Lineage: Eukaryota; Metazoa; Chordata; Actinopteri; Clupeiformes; Clupeidae
Exons: 2
Source: RefSeq, a predicted model, not a curated record